UUAAUACCUGAUAGUAUGGUGAGAUUGCAUGAUAGCACCAUUAAAGAUUUAUUGGUAAACGAUGGGGAUGCGUUCCAUUAGGUAGUAGGCGGGGUAACGGCCCACCUAGCCGACGAUGGAUAGGGGUUCUGAGAGGAAGGUCCCCCACAUUGGAACUGAGACACGGUCCAAACUCCUACGGGAGGCAGCAGUGAGGAAUAUUGGUCAAUGGGCGAGAGCCUGAACCAGCCAAGUAGCGUGAAGGAUGAAGGUCCUACGGAUUGUAAACUUCUUUUAUACGGGAAUAAAGUAUCCUACGUGUAGGAUUUUGUAUGUACCGUAUGAAUAAGCAUCGGCUAACUCCGUGCCAGCAGCCGCGGUAAUACGGAGGAUGCGAGCGUUAUCCGGAUUUAUUGGGUUUAAAGGGAGCGCAGACGGGAGAUUAAGUCAGUUGUGAAAGUUUGCGGCUCAACCGUAAAAUUGCAGUUGAUACUGGUUUCCUUGAGUGCAGUUGAGGCAGGCGGAAUUCGUGGUGUAGCGGUGAAAUGCUUAGAUAUCACGAAGAACCCCGAUUGCGAAGGCAGCUUGCUAAACUGUAACUGACGUUCAUGCUCGAAAGUGUGGGUAUCAAACAGGAUUAGAUAC
RNAcentral lists this ribosomal RNA (624 nucleotides) under uncultured bacterium. RNAcentral's name for it is "bacterial SSU rRNA". It matches the Rfam family "Bacterial small subunit ribosomal RNA", at positions 163 to 785 of the family's 1533-position model. The record is from RNAcentral.